Molecule: ribosomal RNA, 449 nt
Filed under: uncultured bacterium
Lineage: Bacteria
Description: partial 16S ribosomal RNA
Rfam family: Bacterial small subunit ribosomal RNA
Source: RNAcentral
AACGAACGCUGGCGGCAUGCCUAACACAUGCAAGUCGAACGAGAUCUUCGGGUCUAGUGGCGCACGGGUGCGUAACGCGUGGGAAUCUGCCCUUUGGUUCGGAAUAACAGUUGGAAACGACUGCUAAUACCGGAUGAUGACGAAAGUCCAAAGAUUUAUCGCCAGAGGAUGAGCCCGCGUAGGAUUAGCUAGUUGGUGUGGUAAAGGCGCACCAAGGCGACGAUCCUUAGCUGGUCUGGGAGGAUGAUCAGCCACACUGGGACUGAGACACGGCCCAGACUCCUACGGUAGGCAGCAGUGGGGAAUAUUGGACAAUGGGCGAAAGCCUGAUCCAGCAAUGCCGCGUGAGUGAUGAAGGCCUUAGGGUUGUAAAGCUCUUUUACCCGGGAUGAUAAUGACAGUACCGGGAGAAUAAGCUCCGGCUAACUCCGUGCCAGCCGCCGCGGUAA